GAUGAACGCUGGCGGCGUGCCUAAUACAUGCAAGUCGAGCGAACAGACGAGGAGCUUGCUCCUCUGACGUUAGCGGCGGACGGGUGAGUAACACGUGGAUAACCUACCUAUAAGACUGGGAUAACUUCGGGAAACCGGAGCUAAUACCGGAUAAUAUAUUGAACCGCAUGGUUCAAUAGUUAAAGACGGUUUUGCUGUCACUUAUAGAUGGAUCCGCGCCGCAUUAGCUAGUUGGUAAGGUAACGGCUUACCAAGGCUACGAGGCGUAGCCGACCUGAGAGGGUGAAUCGACAGACGGGAACUGAGACUGGUCAGCGACUCCUACGGGAGGAAGCAGUAGGGAAUCUUCCGCAAUGGGCGAAAGCCGGACAGAGCAACACCGCGUGAGUGAUGAAGGUCUUCGGAUGGUAGAGUGCUGUUGUUAGGAAAGAACAAAAGUGUAUGUACCUAUGCACGUCUUGACGGUACCUAAAGAGUAAGCUACGGCUAACUCCGUG
Molecule: ribosomal RNA, 497 nt
Filed under: uncultured bacterium
Lineage: Bacteria
Description: partial 16S ribosomal RNA
Rfam family: Bacterial small subunit ribosomal RNA
Source: RNAcentral